This 288-nucleotide ribosomal RNA is filed under the name Triticum aestivum (bread wheat). RNAcentral describes it as "partial small subunit ribosomal RNA". The record is from RNAcentral. Lineage: Eukaryota; Viridiplantae; Streptophyta; Magnoliopsida; Poales; Poaceae.
AUGAAUCUAAUCAGUUGGAACUGCCGGGGUGAGGGGAAUCCCCGGACAGUUCAUGAACUAGCGACUUUGGUUAAGUCGCAUUCCCCCAGUGUCGUGUUCUUAUGUGAAACGAGACAGAAGGAAGCAAAGAUGAGAAGAAUUCGUGGAAGGCUGGGACUACAAGGUUUUGCCGGUGUAGAUUGUGUUGGCAUGAGUGGAGGGCUAGCCUUGUACUGGCAUGAGUCCUAUAUAGUAGAAGUAAUGGACAAAGAUGAUCGAUAUAUUGAUGCCCUUGUCAGAGUUCAAUAG